GUUGAGCGAGGCUUAUAGAAUUUUGAUUGUUGCUCUGAGAGUUAAUAUAAUUUCAAUGAUAACUGUCUAACAACCAUCAAAUUUCAAAGCGAUGCUUGUCAUCG
RNAcentral lists this microRNA precursor (104 nucleotides) under Schmidtea mediterranea. Its description in RNAcentral is "microRNA sme-mir-315 precursor". Its record names the gene sme-mir-315. The record is from miRBase by way of RNAcentral. Lineage: Eukaryota; Metazoa; Platyhelminthes; Tricladida; Dugesiidae.